AGAGUUGUAUCCUGGCUCAGAACGAACGCUGGCGGCAUGCCUAACACAUGCAAGUCGAACGAUAAGCCACCUUCGGGUGGUGGACAGUGGCGCACGGGUGAGUAACACGUGGGGACCUGCCUGAUAGUACGGGACAACAGCUGGAAACGGCUGCUAAUACCGCAUACGCCCUUCGGGGGAAAGAUUUAUCGCUAUCAGAUGGACCCGCGCUAGAUUAGAUAGUUGGUGGGGUAAUGGCCUACCAAGUCGACGAUCUAUAACUGGUUUGAGAAGAUGAUCAGCCACAUUGGGACUGAGACACGGCCCAGACUCCUACGGGAGGCAGCAGUGGGGAAUAUUGUACAAUGGGGGCAACCCUGAUACAGCAAUGCCGCGUGAGUGAAGAAGGCCUUAGGGUUGUAAAACUCUUUCGCCAGGGAAGAUAAUGACGGUACCUGGUAAAGAAGUCCCGGCUAACUCCGUGCCAGCAGCCGCGGUAAUACGGAGGGGACUAGCGUUGUUCGGAAAUUACUGGGCGUAAAGAGUUCGUAGGCGGAUA
This 538-nucleotide ribosomal RNA is filed under the name uncultured Alphaproteobacteria bacterium. Its description in RNAcentral is "bacterial SSU rRNA". It matches the Rfam family "Bacterial small subunit ribosomal RNA", at positions 8 to 581 of the family's 1533-position model. Lineage: Bacteria; Pseudomonadati; Pseudomonadota; Alphaproteobacteria. The record is from RNAcentral.